Molecule: ribosomal RNA, 402 nt
Filed under: uncultured bacterium
Lineage: Bacteria
Description: bacterial SSU rRNA
Rfam family: Bacterial small subunit ribosomal RNA
Source: RNAcentral
AACGAACGCUGGCGGCGCGCCUAAUACAUGCAAGUCGAGCGAGAAGACGUAGCAAUACGUUUGUAAAGCGGCGAACGGGUGAGGAAUACAUGGGUAACCUACCCUCGAGUGGGGAAUAACUAGCCGAAAGGUUAGCUAAUACCGCGUACGCUCCUUGGACUUCGGUUCAGGGAGGAAAGCGAUACCGUGGGUAUCGCGCUCUUGGAUGGGCUCAUGUCCUAUCAGCUUGUUGGUGAGGAACGGCUCACCAAGGCUUCGACGGGUAGCUGGUCUGAGAGGACGAUCAGCCACACUGGCACUGCGACACGGGCCAGACUCCUACGGGAGGCAGCAGUAAGGAAUAUUGCGCAAUGGGCGAAAGCCUGACGCAGCGACGCCGCGUGGGGGAGUGAAGGUCUUCGG